GUUCUCUUAGACAGCACAUAUACUAAAAGUGGAAUGAUACAGAGAAGAUUAGCAUGGCCCCUGCACAAGGUGGCAUGUAAAAUCCCCAACAGCGCCCCCAGACUU
Small nuclear RNA from Ochotona princeps (American pika), 105 nucleotides. The record is from Ensembl. Lineage: Eukaryota; Metazoa; Chordata; Mammalia; Lagomorpha; Ochotonidae.